UCUGUGCUCCUGCUGGCUUUGAAGCAGGAAGAGGCCGGGAGCCAAGGAAUGUAAGGAAUGCAGCUCUAGAAGCUGGAAAAGGCCAGGAAACCAAGCGGAGUGUCCUUUGGAGCCUCUGGACGGUGUGCAGUCGGACAGCUUGGUUUCUGUCUAAUGAAACUCAUUUCAGGCUUCUCACCUCCAGAACUAGCCUGAGAGUGAGGCCUUUGAAUGAUGCCCUGGACAGAGCUUGGAACAUGAAGGUGAAUACUGUUGUGGGGAGAAUGCAUCCCUUUGCCUGGCUCUGAGCCAGGGCCAGCUUUGGAUCCUGCUAGCCCCAUGGAUAUAGAGAGACUGGAUGGAGUCAGCUCUUCAUCCUUGCAAAGUCCACUCUGUCAACAUACAGGGAAAAAAAUUCUCAGGAAUACGAGCUCUGAGGAGCAUCCUAGCCAGGACUCACACCACUCAAGCAAGAGUCUAACUUCUUGCUAGAGUCCACUCAUCAUGGCUGUCAUGUCAGGUGUGGGGGCGUCAAGGAUGCUUGCUGGGCUUCUGGCUUGAGCAGCUGGGGCAGUGACAAUGUCAUUGAUUGAUAUCAAUGUCAAAGAUGUGGGAAGAAGAGAUGCAGGGUGCUGAGCUCCACUUUGGAUAGGCUGAGUUUGAUAUGCAGAUGGAGAGAUCCUCAAGAAAACUGGACAUAUGGGUUUAGAGCCCAGGAGAAGGCUCUCAGCUGCCGAUAGAGAUUUGGAAUCUGUUACUUCAGUGGUUAGAUGGGAAGCUCCAGAAAGGAAACUUUUCAGAAGGGAAACUUGCCUGAUGACAGUGAAUAGAACGAGAAGAAAUGAACCCUGCAUGUUGAAGAUGUACUCAGAGGUCAUGGACCUCAUCACAGAGACCCAGAAAAAUAAACCCUGUGUUCUUGGA
Molecule: long non-coding RNA, 903 nt
Organism: Homo sapiens (human)
Lineage: Eukaryota; Metazoa; Chordata; Mammalia; Primates; Hominidae
Exons: 3
Source: RefSeq, a predicted model, not a curated record